This 1366-nucleotide ribosomal RNA is filed under the name uncultured bacterium. Its description in RNAcentral is "bacterial SSU rRNA". It matches the Rfam family "Bacterial small subunit ribosomal RNA". The record is from RNAcentral.
AGAGUUUGAUCCUGGCUCAGGAUGAACGCUGGCGGCGUGCUUAACACAUGCAAGUCGAACGAAGCACUUUAUUUGAUUUCCUUCGGGACUGAUUAUUUUGUGACUGAGUGGCGGACGGGUGAGUAACGCGUGGGUAACCUGCCUUGUACAGGGGGAUAACAGUUGGAAACGGCUGCUAAUACCGCAUAAGCGCACAGCAUCGCAUGAUGCAGUGUGAAAAGCUCCGGUGGUAUAAGAUGGACCCGCGUUGGAUUAGCUAGUUGGUGAGGUAACGGCCCACCAAGGCGACGAUCCAUAGCCGACCUGAGAGGGUGACCGGCCACAUUGGGACUGAGACACGGCCCAAACUCCUACGGGAGGCAGCAGUGGGGAAUAUUGCACAAUGGGCGAAAGCCUGAUGCAGCGACGCCGCGUGAGCGAAGAAGUAUUUCGGUAUGUAAAGCUCUAUCAGCAGGGAAGAUAAUGACGGUACCUGACUAAGAAGCACCGGCUAAAUACGUGCCAGCAGCCGCGGUAAUACGUAUGGUGCAAGCGUUAUCCGGAUUUACUGGGUGUAAAGGGAGCGCAGGCGGUGCGGCAAGUCUGAUGUGAAAGCCCGGGGCUCAACCCCGGUACUGCAUUGGAAACUGUCGUACUAGAGUGUCGGAGGGGUAAGCGGAAUUCCUAGUGUAGCGGUGAAAUGCGUAGAUAUUAGGAACACCAGUGGGAAGCGGCUUACUGGCGAUAACUGACGCUGAGGCUCGAAAGCGUGGGGAGCAAACAGGAUUAGAUACCCUGGAGUCCACGCCGUAAACGAUGAACUGUUAGCAUUGCUUCCGGGUCGCAACGCAGUAUAUUCCACCUGGGGAGUACGUUCGCAAGAAUGAAACUCAAAGGAAUUGACGGGGACCCGCACAAGCGGUGGAGCAUGUGGUUUAAUUCGACGCAACGCGAAGAACCUUACCAAGUCUUGACAUCCUUCUGACCGGUACUUAACCGUACUUUCUCUUCGGAGCAGGAGUGACAGGUGGUGCAUGGUUGUCGUCAGCUCGUGUCGUGAGAUGUUGGGUUAAGUCCCGCAACGAGCGCAACCCUUAUCUUUAGUAGCCAGCGGUUUGGCCGGGCACUCUAGAGAGACUGCCAGGGAUAACCUGGAGGAAGGCGGGGAUGACGUCAAAUCAUCAUGCCCCUUAUGACUUGGGCUACACACGUGCUACAAUGGCGUAAACAAAGGGAAGCAAAGCUGUGAGGCCGAGCAAAUCUCAAAAAUAACGUCUCAGUUCGGACUGUAGUCUGCAACCCGACUACACGAAGCUGGAAUCGCUAGUAAUCGCAGAUCAGAAUGCUGCGGUGAGUACGUUCCCGGGUCUUGCACACACCGCCCGUC